Molecule: ribosomal RNA, 465 nt
Filed under: uncultured bacterium
Lineage: Bacteria
Description: partial 16S ribosomal RNA
Rfam family: Bacterial small subunit ribosomal RNA
Source: RNAcentral
CCUACGGGGGGCAGCAGUGGGGAAUAUUGCGCAAUGGGCGAAAGCCUGACGCAGCGACGCCGCGUGAGGGAUGAAGGUCUUCGGAUCGUAAACCUCUGUCAGCAGGGAAGAACGGUCACUGUGCUAAUCAGCAGUGAAUUGACGGUACCUGCAAAGGAAGCACCGGCUAACUCCGUGCCAGCAGCCGCGGUAAUACGGAGGGUGCGAGCGUUAAUCGGAAUUACUGGGCGUAAAGCGACAGUAGGCGGUAUGUCAAGUCAAGGGUGAAAUCCCCGCGCUCAACGUGGGAACUGCCUUUGAAACUGGCAAACUGGAGUGUAGUAGAGGAUAGUGGAAUGCCAGGUGUAGGGGUGAAUUCCGUAGAUAUCUGGAGGAACAUCAGUGGCGAAGGCGACUAUCUGGCACAUAACUGACGCUGAGGAGCGAAAGCGUGGGUAGCAAACAGGAUUAGAUACCCUUGUAGUC